Ochotona princeps (American pika) is the source of this 411-nucleotide long non-coding RNA. RefSeq lists it as uncharacterized. Lineage: Eukaryota; Metazoa; Chordata; Mammalia; Lagomorpha; Ochotonidae. The transcript has 2 exons. The record is from RefSeq and is a predicted model, not a curated record.
AGGCCUGGGUCUGGUGGAUGUUUCCAUGUCUGCUGAGGAGCAAGUGAGGCUUAGCUUUAUCAUAUGGCUCUCCUCAAUUAGUCCCCUGAUACUAAAAUAAUACUUGAUCCACGGUGAUCCCUCCAUACACCUUCAGGAAAUUUCCUCCUGGCAGCGAGAGCGAGGGGCAGGACUCACUGGAGGUUGGUCUCCCUCUUACCCCCCACCCCUCUGCCUCACGGAAGAGUUGACCACAUCAGCAGCCGACUCCGCUUCGUCAUGUGCCUGCUCAUGUGAUGCUGGCUCUGCGGCACCUCGGCGCGUCAGCCUUUGUGACUCGGCACUCAUGGACAGACAGUGGCUCGGGGACAGGAGAGAUUUUGGAGGGGGCGGGGAGGCCAAUACACCGAGAAAUAAAAGUCGCACGAAGUA